Molecule: ribosomal RNA, 484 nt
Filed under: uncultured bacterium
Lineage: Bacteria
Description: partial 16S ribosomal RNA
Rfam family: Bacterial small subunit ribosomal RNA
Source: RNAcentral
AUUGAACGCUAGCGGGAUGCUUUACACAUGCAAGUCGAACGGCAGCGCGGACUUCGGUCUGGCGGCGAGUGGCGAACGGGUGAGUAAUGUAUCGGAACGUGCCCAGUAGCGGGGGAUAACUACGCGAAAGCGUAGCUAAUACCGCAUACGCCCUACGGGGGAAAGCAGGGGAUCGUAAGACCUUGCACUAUUGGAGCGGCCGAUAUCGGAUUAGCUAGUUGGUGAGGUAACGGCUCACCAAGGCGACGAUCCGUAGCUGGUUUGAGAGGACGACCAGCCACACUGGGACUGAGACACGGCCCAGACUCCUACGGGAGGCAGCAGUGGGGAAUUUUGGACAAUGGGGGCAACCCUGAUCCAGCCAUCCCGCGUGUGCGAUGAAGGCCUUCGGGUUGUAAAGCACUUUUGGCAGGAAAGAAACGUCGCGGGCUAAUACCCCGUGGAACCGACGGUACCUGCAGAAUAAGCACCGGCUAACUACGUG